AGAUUUCCGUCAGAGUAUGACAUCAGAUUUAUGAAGACGAUAUACAAAUUGUAAGUGAAGGCUAUGUCGGCCAUACACACUUUUAUCCAGGAUACUGUGUGUCGGUGAUAUAGUUCUAAGUGGAGUGCUAUGUUUCAUACUUAACUUUGAGGGAUAUUAGGGAACGUUAAAUAGAUGGCUGAUUAUAUCCACAACAAUACCAUUUAUUGUUAUACAUGGAUUUAAUAGAGGAUAUAUUGCCUCUAGAAUCUAUUUAAAUGCAGCAUUUCUUUCAAUCAUAUAAUUCUGUAUGAUUGUAUGUGUAAAGACAUUGGAAGACGUGCAGUAAUCCCAUCUGUACCCCUGUUACGUUGUUUAUGGUAAGUGGAAGGCGACCAAAAAUACUGGUGUGACUGAAAACAAACGUAUAUACAUGUACAACAUUCGAAGAUUUCAGAAUGUCUGAAACACGUGCAAAUCAUGGUUACUUGGAAACAGACAUAGACGAGUUUCUAGAUCAGACUCCACCUGAAGCCCAAUCGCUAUUCAAUGCUGGUAGUAAACUGAGUUUUCAGCAUGAUCGUGACAAUGGAACCAACGGUAUCUCCAAAAGUAUCGUUCUAACUGAGAACUCGGACACAAAACCUGGUCCUGAAGAUAUUUCGGCAGAUACGCCAUUAGUGGAUUCAGACAAAGACGAACCCCUCACGUCCAGCGCGUCGCCUUUCUUGCAAGAUAAUCCACGAACGGAAUCUUAUGUAAGCGACGGGAAUUCAGAGGUUAAUGAAGACUACGACAAGGGGCGAAGAAGACUGGAGUCAACAGAGAUCCUCACGACAAUCUUACUUUGCUUGGGUGUUUCGAUGAGUUGCCUUUUCCUUUUCCUGUUAGUAACAUCUCUGAUUUCCGCAUACUGGGAGCCUAACAACCUCAGAAAGUUUUGUGAUGAUAUACAUGUGGUUGGGUAUACAAGUCAAGCAUGCCGGGACAUUGACAGUGGAUGAUCAGAUGGAGAAGGAUGGACAGGCUGUACAGUAUUUAAAAUGGUAUUAACAGUGAUUAUUUCAGUCAUAAAUCAAAACUGUAAUUCGACUGAUAAAAUGACAUUCAUUAUUUUGUUUAUCAGGGAUAUGUAUGGACCUAAAUAAUUCGCUGAAAGCAGUGAAGAGCCAGUUAAACAAUUCCCAUAUUAAGACAUCCAGACAUAAUUAUUUUAUCAUUAUGCCGACAUGACAAACAACAUGAUCUGUGUGUGUCGUCCCUGAAAGAACUCGUUUAUUGCUAACAUAAUGCUAUAUAUCUGUCGUCACAUACAGAACUCGUCUAUUGCCGACAUGACAAACAACACUUUCUGUGUCUAAAUUCCCAGACAGAACUCGGUUAUUGCCGACAUGACAAACAGCAUGAUCUGUGUAGUCACAGACAGAACUCGUUUAUUGCCGACAUGACAAACAGCAUGAUCUGCAUCGUGUUAUAAGAGUUAUCGCGCAUGAAACAGAUGUGUUUUUGUUAACAUUGGUCCAGAAUGGACUUCAUUACCGAAAAUUGCAUUAAUUUUAACAAUGAUAAUGAUACACUGUACUGUAAACACUGCAAUGCAUUUGGAAAACAAUAUGAACAUGUUACGUGCUUUAAAAUGAAGCAUACGUCUCAGGCAUUUGCUGUUUUAAACACUAGCUAUAUUCUCUAUGGAAUAAAGAGGUUACACGACGCUGUUGUAUAUGGUACUUCUUUUACUCGAGUUAGUUAUUUUUCAAACGUUACAAAACCACGUGCUUCUAAAAAUAACUAACGAAAGUGAAAGAAAUACCAUAUACAACAACCACGAGUUCGUGUGACCUGUUUCUACCACAAUAGAAAAGCUAUUCUGAGGAUGAAGUGAGCUUUUUUGUGUCAACGUGUGUUCUUUACACAAUACCAGGUGUUUUGAAAGCAAUAAAUUGGUAAGGAUCUAUAUAUAUAUAUUGAAGAGUAUAACAACACAAUUG
Pecten maximus is the source of this 1967-nucleotide RNA transcript. RefSeq lists it as uncharacterized. The record is from RefSeq and is a predicted model, not a curated record. The transcript is spliced from 4 exons. NCBI's taxonomy places the organism in Eukaryota, Metazoa, Mollusca, Bivalvia, Pectinida, Pectinidae.